RNAcentral lists this ribosomal RNA (495 nucleotides) under uncultured bacterium. RNAcentral's name for it is "bacterial SSU rRNA". It matches the Rfam family "Bacterial small subunit ribosomal RNA", at positions 903 to 1397 of the family's 1533-position model. The record is from RNAcentral.
AAAUGAAUAGACGGGGACCCGCACAAGCAGUGGAGCAUGUGGUUUAAUUCGAAGCAACGCGAAGAACCUUACCAGGUCUUGACAUCCUCCUGACCGGUGCAGAGAUGCGCCUUUCCCUUCGGGGACAGGGGAGACAGGUGGUGCAUGGUUGUCGUCAGCUCGUGUCGUGAGAUGUUGGGUUAAGUCCCGCAACGAGCGCAACCCUUGGCUUCAGUUGCCAGCAUUGAGUUGGGCACUCUGGAGCGACUGCCGGUGACAAACCGGAGGAAGGCGGGGAUGACGUCAAAUCAUCAUGCCCCUUAUGACCUGGGCUACACACGUGCUACAAUGGCCGGUACAACGGGCUGCGAAGGAGCGAUCCGGAGCCAAUCCCUGAAAGCCGGUCUCAGUUCGGAUUGCAGGCUGCAACUCGCCUGCAUGAAGUCGGAAUUGCUAGUAAUCGCGGAUCAGCAUGCCGCGGUGAAUACGUUCCCGGGUCUUGUACACACCGCCCGU